Molecule: ribosomal RNA, 254 nt
Filed under: uncultured bacterium
Lineage: Bacteria
Description: partial small subunit ribosomal RNA
Rfam family: Bacterial small subunit ribosomal RNA
Source: RNAcentral
AGGACGAACGCUGGCGGCGUGCUUAACACAUGCAAGUCGAACGGAAAGGCCCUUCGGGGUACUCGAGCGGCGAACGGGUGAGUAACACGUGAGUAACCUGCCCCUAGCUCUGGGAUAGCUCCGGGAAACCGGGAUUAAUACCAGAUACGACCACUUUAGACAUCUGUCGUGGUGGAAAGGAUUCCGGCUAGGGAUGGGCUCGCGGCCUAUCAGCUUGUUGGUGGGGUAACGCCUACCAAGGCGACGACGGGUAG